Molecule: non-coding RNA, 30 nt
Filed under: Mus musculus (house mouse)
Lineage: Eukaryota; Metazoa; Chordata; Mammalia; Rodentia; Muridae
Source: RNAcentral
ACAAAAGAACUUCUUAAAGGUACAGUUGCA